UUCAUGGCAAUGUUGGAAGGCGGACAAAUAAGUGGUACGCAACAAGACAUAGCGAAAUAAAGGAGACAACUAGCAUGGCAAUGAUAGUAAUGGUAUUUAGAAGAAAUAGUCAUCUUGCAUGUGAUCUCGCUUGGAAGAAGAACGAAUCUGUGAAGCAGACGAACUAGCGUAGUCGAACAAAUGCUCACAUUCCUACAUGCUUGCGGAACUCUAUCGAGAAUAAGCAAUCCACAACAAGAAUCAACACAUGAUAUUCACUAUACAUAUGCAUGACAUGAUGCACAACACAUAUGAUGCAUGUCUGUUUUAAUUAUGCAAGGCAUGACACAUCA
RNAcentral lists this long non-coding RNA (332 nucleotides) under Hordeum vulgare. Its description in RNAcentral is "long non-coding RNA (HVUL_LNC001148)". Lineage: Eukaryota; Viridiplantae; Streptophyta; Magnoliopsida; Poales; Poaceae. The record is from RNAcentral.